Molecule: ribosomal RNA, 211 nt
Filed under: uncultured Staphylococcus sp.
Lineage: Bacteria; Bacillati; Bacillota; Bacilli; Caryophanales; Staphylococcaceae
Description: partial 16S ribosomal RNA
Rfam family: Bacterial small subunit ribosomal RNA
Source: RNAcentral
CGGGAAACCGGAGCUAAUACCGAUAAUAUAUUGAACCGCAUGGUUCAAUAGUGAAAGACGGUUUUGCUGUCACUUAUAGAUGGAUCCGCGCCGCAUUAGCUAGUUGGUAAGGUAACGGCUUACCAAGGCAACGAUGCGUAGCCGACCUGAGAGGGUGAUCGGCCACACUGGAACUGAGACACGGUCCAGACUCCUACGGGAGGCAGCAGCA